This is a long non-coding RNA of Dicentrarchus labrax (European seabass), 754 nucleotides long. RefSeq lists it as uncharacterized. The record is from RefSeq and is a predicted model, not a curated record. The transcript has 3 exons. NCBI's taxonomy places the organism in Eukaryota, Metazoa, Chordata, Actinopteri, Moronidae.
ACGGUCUGAUGAAGACCAAGGGAGGAGUCGUGGGGACCAAGCUGAGGCCAUUCUUGGACAAACUGAGUCAGGGAGGGACACACUGGAGAUGGCCAAGGCCAUCUGGCAUCUACUUUUCUCCACCAAAAACCUGAGGUGGACCACACUGCACAGACCCUCCUGACAAUGGACAAUAUUAUACAAGUGUCUGAUGUGAUGAGAGCACUGUGUCCACCAUUCACUGAGGAGGAGCAUGGAGAGGAGGAAACCAACCAGCUUCCUGAUGGAAUCUACUUUCUCUUCCUUCCUCCCCUGCAGGUCCAAGGGCUGUAUGAGGCAGAGCAGAGGGGGAAAGAGAGGGCAAGGACAUGAAGAAAGGAUGCUCCUCGGUUGUACACCGCUCUGCAUUCAUGGAGCUGUGACUGUUCCUUCCUGAGGGUGCAGCACGGGGAAGGUACGCCGGGUCACCUCACUUUCCUCUCUCAACCAAUAACACAACAUAUUCUGACUGUCAAUCCCCAACAAACAGCCACCCUCCUCAGAGUCUUUUUGUGCCACCCAGACUGAGAGUUUGAACGCACGCACAAACCCUAACCGUCCCAUAUCAGCAAACCACAGAGCCACUAACACCCACGUUGUUCUUUUAUUUUCUGACAAAUGUCUGUCUUUACUCUUCUGUUCUGUACACAUUCUUUCUGUCUUUGUCCUGUUGUUCUGUAUUUUGUUUCUUGUGUUAAAAUAAUAAAAGAAAACUCAAGAACAUCCUCAGAAUUUA